This 231-nucleotide long non-coding RNA is filed under the name Homo sapiens (human). RNAcentral's name for it is "HSALNT0077581". Lineage: Eukaryota; Metazoa; Chordata; Mammalia; Primates; Hominidae. The record is from RNAcentral.
CGCCUAUCUCAUAGGAUACUUGUGAUCAAAUGAAAUUACAUGACAAUGUAUCUGGCGCUAAUAAAACGGUAAUUUAUGAGACACAGAAUGACUACUGACGCCAGCUAGCCUACAAGCCUAAUAGUAGAGAUAAGAUGUUAAUACAUAACCACCAAGAAAUAAACAUGGAGAUCUAGUGAAAACCCAUGACAUGUUUUCUAAAAAUGUCAUCUUCCUUGUGACGAAAGGAGC